This 789-nucleotide ribosomal RNA is filed under the name Triticum aestivum (bread wheat). Its description in RNAcentral is "partial small subunit ribosomal RNA". The record is from RNAcentral. Lineage: Eukaryota; Viridiplantae; Streptophyta; Magnoliopsida; Poales; Poaceae.
AUGGAUCUUGUUUGGUCGAUGGGUGACGCUGGUUCAGAUUGUUUCGGCUUGCCUGCGUCGAACCGUGUGUCUUUCUGUCCUUCACAUUCAGGUUGUACGAUCUCACCCGUUGCUGCGGCUCCAUUCUGCUCAUUGCUUCGUCUCCAUUUUCCUCAUCAAGGAGGAACAGGUAGCGAGAGAAGAGCUCCCCCCCUCGGCGGCGUCCACUCCGGAGCCGUCGCCCACUCCGGAGCCGUCGCCCACCAAAUCACGCCGGCGGCCGCUCCGGCGCCGGCGUCCACCUUCUCCUCUCCGGUGCGCAUGGCCUCUGGGUCGCGCAGCCCCCCGUCGGUGUCCUCGGCAAUGCUUCGGGAGUGUCCGGUUGUGUCGGGCUUGGGUCUCUCAGGAUCUCCGGGCUCGGCGAGCGCGUCUUCCGCGGCUGGUGGCCGGGGGCCGGGGGACAUGCCGGCUCAAUUGGAGGGCUGGCGUCGGCCGGGCCCUUCGCGUAAAGCCAUGUGGCGCAGGCGCCGUGCUCUCCGGCAGCAGCAGGCGGGUGGUGCCCCGCCAAGGUCGUCGUCCCCGUCCUCGUUCGAGUUGUGCCAGAUUCCGCCGGAUCUGCACGGGCUGUGCUUCCGGUGUUUUGAGGAAGGACAUCGGCGACAAGAUUGCAUCAACGAGCCGCUCUGCAUCAGAUGUGGUCGGGCGGGCCAUGUCUCGUCUCAGUGCGCGGUGCCGCGGAGUCCUAUUUCUGCGGCGGAGCUUCGCCGGGCGGUGAUUGACAGGGUUGCCAGACGGGAGGUGGUGCCUUGA